This is a transfer RNA of Proteiniclasticum ruminis, 73 nucleotides long. It matches the Rfam family "tRNA". From Rfam's summary of the family: Transfer RNA (tRNA) molecules are approximately 80 nucleotides in length. Their secondary structure includes four short double-helical elements and three loops (D, anti-codon, and T loops). Further hydrogen bonds mediate the characteristic L-shaped molecular structure. tRNAs have two regions of fundamental functional importance: the anti-codon, which is responsible for specific mRNA codon recognition, and the 3' end, to which the tRNAs corresponding amino acid is attached (by aminoacyl-tRNA synthetases). tRNAs cope with the degeneracy of the genetic code in two manners: having more than one tRNA (with a specific anti-codon) for a particular amino acid; and 'wobble' base-pairing, i.e. permitting non-standard base-pairing at the 3rd anti-codon position. NCBI's taxonomy places the organism in Bacteria, Bacillati, Bacillota, Clostridia, Eubacteriales, Clostridiaceae. The record is from Rfam.
GGGAGCAUAGCUCAGCUGGGAGAGCAUCUGCCUUACAAGCAGAGGGUCACAGGUUCGAUCCCUGUUGUUCCCA